Bombus pyrosoma is the source of this 4503-nucleotide RNA transcript. It is a transcript of the gene named protein RUFY3-like, with no coding region annotated. Lineage: Eukaryota; Metazoa; Arthropoda; Insecta; Hymenoptera; Apidae. The record is from RefSeq and is a predicted model, not a curated record. The transcript has 10 exons.
GGCGGGAGAAUCAAUAUUACUUUUCGCCGGCGACUCGCCAUUUUCGUCGUAAAAUUUUUCGUGAGCAACGGAACACACGUCAUACGUAGUUUUCCUCGACAGUGAAUCAGUCUCUGCUAUGUUGAGCUCUUAAGAAACCAACUGCCGCAACGUUCAGCUACGAUGUAGCAUUAGAACCGAGUGCGAACGGCCGUCUUUCUGCUUUAGCCAAAGUUUCUUUUCAUCGCUUUUACCGCAGUGUCUAUAUUUCAUUUGCUCCAUAUCACGAACUAACUGUUCAAGCAAUUUAACAAUAUCAAUAUCGUACAAAUAUCACGGACCGGAUCUAUUAAAACAGCAAAAGAAUUAUUAUUGCUGUUCGUGUAAACAUAAAGUGAUCGAAAUAAGUAGAAUCAAAUUAUCAAUUCGACCAAUACGAACCAACUAAGUUACAUCAGUGAAAACGAAUCAGCUGAUUGAAAUUGUCAAGAGCAACGUCGACUGGAAGAACUCUAAUGACAUUAUUGGAGACGAAGAAGAGCUUUGUUCCAAGAGACAAGUCUAAUUAAUUAAUAUCAGAAGAGUUAAACCAAAAUUCUUCAGAUAUCUUUUCUCAGAGAAACUGAAGUUAACGAAACAGAGGAGACUAAUCUUUUGAAAUAUUACAUUACUUUAAAGAAUAGUCACUGAGAGGAUCGAUAAAGAAGAAAAAGGUUCGGUUAAGGUAAGAACUCCAUAGUUGGAGUGACCUAAAACAAUCCAUUGUUACGAACGAUCUUCUAUGCGGCAAGAAUCCAAAAACGGUCUGAAGAUCAGGCCACCGGGUGACCACGGUGUGCAUCACAGUGGGGUCAUGCUUGAAGAAGACAUGGCUGGCGCUAAGGAUACGAUAUACCUGUGCAACUUCCGUGUUUCUGUCGACGGCGAGUGGCUGUGCCUGAAAGAGCUUCAGGAUGUCGAGUUUUCGUUGCAGGAGUCGAUGCAACGUUCACCAUCGCCACCGUUCGCUCUCAGUGGUAUUAACCAUCAUCAUCAUCAUCAUCAUAAUGAUCAUCAUCGUCAGCAACAGCUUCCCGAUCAGCGAGAGCUUCGCGAUAUAAUGCCGCCAAGCCCACCGCCAUUGCAGCACGUUUCCAGCUUGUCACGCGAUCCAGUCAUCAUCGAGAGGAGUAAUCUUGUGAAUAUUUCGAAAUUAAUCGUGAAGGAGCUGAUCGAAACGUCUUUGAAGUAUGGUCGGAUGCUCGAUUCUGAUCAUAUGCCAUUGCAACAUUUUUUCAUCGUUCUUGAACACGUGCUUAGGCAUGGUUUACGACCAAAGAAGGGUCUACUUGGACCCAAGAAGGAGCUUUGGGAUAUACUUCAGCUCGUUGAGAAAUAUUGUUCCGAAGCACAGGACAUUACGUCCAGUAUUCGUGAUCUACCUACUGUUAGGACUGCAAUGGGUAGAGCGCGAGCAUGGUUGCGUAUGGCGUUAAUGCAGAAAAAGCUAGCGGACUACUUGAAAGUUUUAAUCGACCACAAGGAAGAUAUAUUGUCCGAGUAUUUCGAGCCUGACGCUCUGAUGAUGAGCGAGGAGGCAAUCGUUAUAAUGGGCUUGUUGGUGGGCUUGAACGUAAUCGACUGCAACUUCUGUGUAAAGGAAGAAGACCUCGAUUGUCAACAAGGUGUGAUCGAUUUCUCGCUGUACCUGCGAAACAGCAAUCAUAUACCUGGUGAAUCUCCAGACGACGAGCUUGAAAAUGAUAACAUGACAACUGUCCUCGACCAGAAAAAUUACAUCGAGGAACUAAACCGACAUUUAAACGCAACUGUGACAAACCUUCAAGCCAAAGUGGAAUCCUUGACAACGACAAACGCUCUCAUGAAGGAGGACCUGUCUAUCGCAAAAAAUAACAUUUUGUCGCUUCACGAGGAGAAUAGACAAUUGAAAAAAGAGUUGGGAAUCGAAAUCAAAGACACGAACGAGAAUGGGAAACCACCAAUCAAAAUUACUGAAACGACGACAGAGAUCGAGGAGUUGAGAAGUAGGCUAGAUGCUGAAAAGAAAUUGCGGCAGGAUGUAGAAAAGGAAUUAGAAUUACAGAUUAGUAUGAAGUCAGAAAUGGAAGUGGCUAUGAAGCUGUUGGAGAAAGAUAUUCAUGAGAAACAAGACACGAUCAUAUCGCUGCGACGACAGCUCGACGAGAUCAAGUUAAUUAACUUGGAAAUGUAUAAAAAGCUACAGGAAUGUGAGCACGAACUAACGCAGAAAGGAGAAAUGGUGAGCCGGCUUCAUGCGAAGACGAAUCAAAUCGGCAAGAUCCUGAAUAAUCUUGAGAAGUGCAACCACAUGAAAAAGGAUGGGGAAAAUAUUCGUAGCCCAACCACGCCGAGCAGUAUCUCGAAAUCGAUUCUUAAUAAGACCAGUCCCACUUCACCACGAUGUUACUCGUCUGCAGACAAUGUAUCCGCGGUUGAUUAUCAGCACCCUCCUAAUAAUCAGCAACAAUCAGCUAACAAUCAUCAAAAACCAACUAAUAAUCAGCAAACUAACAAUAACCAACAAUCCACUAAUGCUCAACAGCAAUCCCUCACUAAGCAACCAUAUUCUCCUAAUAAUAACGGGCAAACAAGGGGUAACGAGCAACAAAAUGGCGCUAACGAAAAGGAAAUGGCAAAGCCUGAUACCCCAGAACAGAGUAAAUCGAACGGUGAGGUUUCUAUGGAGGCGGAGGAACAAUCGACUGCAUAAAAGAACACUGUUUCUAGAGAAUGGUUUUUAUACUAUGCAUCUUCAUACUCCGUUUAAUAUUUCGACUAAUCGAGGGCGUAUAAAUGACGGCAAAUCCUUUAUACGAAUGUGUUCCUGAAAUUUCCAAUGACAUUUUAAAGAAUGUCGGUGUAUAUAGAAGUAUUAGUGUAUUUCAACAUUUGUUAAUUGACAAUUCUGUACAUAAUUUAUGAAAUGUGAUUUUUAUUUCAUUUUUUGUAUUUUACAAUAGAUUUUCUUAGGUACUUAAAUUAUCUCUCUGUUUCAAUUUUUAGUUUCAAUAAAUUCUUUAACUCAUUAACUGGUUGCUAAUCUCCUGAACAUAAUAAUUUCUUUAUUUAGAGACCACCUGUCUUUCUUUCUUUCUUAUCGCUUCUGUUAAAAAUAAAUUACGUCAUAAUUAUAUUUACAAGGAUUAAAAUCGAUAUAGCUGAAACUGAUUUGUCUUUAUUAAUUUGUCAUUUUUUAAUUAUGAAUGUUUUUAACUAAAGAAUGCCCUAGUUAAUACAUUAAUAAAUCUCCUACGUAGAAAAUCUGUAUUAUUCUGAAAUAAGUUGAAACAGAGGAGCUUUAUUUUACAUUAUUUAAGUUAGUAGACAUUGACUGUAUAUCGUGUAACUGUAAUCGGAGCCUAAAAGCAUAACUGUUAUGAUACAUUUGUGGAUAUAAUGGUUGUUAAUGAAUAGAAUAUAAUCACGAAAAAUGUUGUUGGAUUAUUCAGAAGCACUAUUAUUAUACAUUUAACGCUAAACAAGCUAUAUCACUUAGAUCUUUCACAUGGCAGGACUUUAUAUAUCUAAAAUGCGUAGAAUAUGAACGAGAAUGAAAUAUUCGAUAUUUAAUUAUCCAGCAAUCCAUGCAUCAAUAAGCUUUUAAAUGCAACACCUGUCGUGGUGUGUUUCAAUCGAGACACUUUAUGAAUGUAACUGUGCUUUGUUACGGCAUAGUUACGCUAUUUCAAUAAAAUUGCUAUUUUGUCCACAGAACUAUCGACGACAAUAACAUUAUUAUACACAUGUUUUUCAUAUCUUCAUCAUAUUCAAUCAGGAUGCAUUUUAUUGUUCAUCAGAUUCUGAUUCUAAUUAUUAUCCUCUUUUUGUAGAGUGUCUCGGAUACUUAAUUUCAAUCCAUCGUGAAAACAUUGUAUUUUAACGAAUAUUAAUUGUCCUGUCAAAUUGAUAGCAAUUUCUCUCUAUCAAAUAAUUUAUCAUUGGAUUUUGUUAACAGAGAAAGUAGAUUCAUUUAUAUUUAUCGAACAUUUUCACGGAUUCCCGAUAAAUGAAAUGGAAGGUAAUAUCAAUUGACAAAUAAUUAAUAUUCCAUUUGAAACUCGACGAAAAAGAAUCUUUUAUUCAACCUAUGUUUAAUGGGAUUGAAAACUUAUGUUGCACGAUUUUCCAUUAAUUUCACCGCACAUUAACGAUUACGACGUCUGAAUCUUUUAGAAAACUGUUUUACAUUUAUCAUAUACAUCAUCUACAUUGGUACAGGAUGAGCUUGCAGCUAUAAAUUACACAAUGUACAUUUUACUUCUAAGAAUUACGUGCAAUUUCAGGGCUCUUCCUUUAAUCGAGAAACAAAUGAAACGGUUCUUUCCGCCUUUCACUGAAAUAGGGUUUAUUUCAGGAGUGCGAAGGCUCGCUUAAGCAUAAAACAGAACUGAUCACUAAAUUGGAGGCUAAGACGCUAUCGAUGACUGAAACCAUCCAGAAAAUGGAUGAGAAGUGCAAGGAAAUGGACGACGUAAAAUCAGAUGCAGUAGAGAGAGUGAGGAU